CGACCGGCGCACGGGUGAGUAACACGUAUCCAACCUGCCGAUAACUCGGGGAUGGCCUUUCGAAAGAAAGAUUAAUAUCCGAUAGGAUAUCAAGAUCGCAUGAUCUUGAUAUUAAAGAAUUUCGGUUAUCGAUGGGGAUGCGUUCCAUUAGUUAGUUGGCGGGGUAACGGCCCACCAAGACGACGAUGGAUAGGGGUUCUGAGAGGAAGGUCCCCCACAUUGGAACUGAGACACGGUCCAAACUCCUACGGGAGGCAGCAG
This 261-nucleotide ribosomal RNA is filed under the name uncultured bacterium. RNAcentral describes it as "partial 16S ribosomal RNA". It matches the Rfam family "Bacterial small subunit ribosomal RNA", at positions 92 to 354 of the family's 1533-position model. The record is from RNAcentral.